RNAcentral lists this ribosomal RNA (497 nucleotides) under uncultured bacterium. Its description in RNAcentral is "partial 16S ribosomal RNA". It matches the Rfam family "Bacterial small subunit ribosomal RNA", at positions 28 to 507 of the family's 1533-position model. The record is from RNAcentral.
GACGAACGCUGGCGGCGUGCCUAAUACAUGCAAGUAGAACGCUGAAGAGAGGAGCUUGCUCUUCUUGGAUGAGUUGCGAACGGGUGAGUAACGCGUAGGUAACCUGCCUUGUAGCGGGGGAUAACUAUUGGAAACGAUAGCUAAUACCGCAUAACAAUGGAUGACACAUGUCAUUUAUUUGAAAGGGGCAAUUGCUCCACUACAAGAUGGACCUGCGUUGUAUUAGCUAGUAGGUGAGGUAACGGCUCACCUAGGCGACGAUACAUAGCCGACCUGAGAGGGUGAUCGGCCACACUGGGACUGAGACACGGCCCAGACUCCUACGGGGGGCAGCAGUAGGGAAUCUUCGGCAAUGGGGGCAACCCUGACCGAGCAACGCCGCGUGAGUGAAGAAGGGUUUCGGAUCGUAAAGCUCUGUUGUAAGUCAAGAACGAGUGUGAGAGUGGAAAGUUCACACUGUGACGGUAGCUUACCAGAAAGGGACGGCUAACUACGUG